GAUAGAUAGAUAGAUAGAUAGAUAGAUAGAUAGAUAGAUAGAUAGAUAGAUAGAUAGAUAGAUAGAACAUUUUUAGCUUGCAAAAAUAUGUUAUUGUCAGUGACUGCUACUGUAAGCUCUAUUGUGCAUCUGAAGGGUCAUAAAAAUGAAUGGGCGAAUGUAGAACCAGAUAAAAAGAAAUGUUGGACAGGAUCAGUUCGCGGGAAAAAGAGGCGGACUUCAGUUUGACCAGUGAGUGUGGAACUUGAGCACGUCAUUUUCGCGGUAAUGUCUCGCAACAACAACAGCGCUCUGCAGCAGAAAAAAAUACUCUCGAGAAGGAUAAUGAAAAUGUGUGUUAAAACAUGGCAACGUACGUCUUGAACCUUUUUUUGCACUGUAUUGGACCUCCUUGAAGCCAAAGGAAUGAGAGGGGAAAACUUUUAAAGACUCCUCCUCCUCCUGACGUAACAGAAACGUCAGAGCCUGUUUCCCGCUGUCCGCGGGAAAUGCAAAUGUUUUCGUUUUGGGUCCAGAGACAAAACAUAACACCGAACUUUAAACGACAAAUACGAAUGGAUUUCAAUCUGGAAAUCAGUAACAGAGCCGGGAGUUUCCUGUGCUGCUGUGGACGUGACAACCCUGGUGUGUACCGAUUAUGUAAUGCGUUAACAGACGUUCAGCUCUCAGUUGAAGAAACAACGCCAUCUCUUGGUGAAAGCACUGUAUGACCAUCGGAUUAUGGUUAAGGUGGAGGAAUUAUUAGGACAGUUUAGAAAGAGCAUGUGGAUCAAGAUUAUGAAAAAGCUUUAAAUUAAGCAUUUAUAAGAUGGAGCACUGGCCCCCUGGAAAUCUUUGUUGCUCGAGCCACAUCUGUUGCAUAUUCCUGAGAGGGGCUGACGUCAAUGUUGCCCCAGCCAAUAUCAAGAAUCUAUCUUUCUAAGACUAUUUUAUUCCCAGAUCACACAGAACGAUUCAUUUACCAAGUGUAGAGAUCCAGUUGCAGCUGUUCUUGACUCACUGAAGUGAGUCUUCAAGCAAUGUGACGCAUCUCUGAUAAUAUAGAAUAUAGAUAAGUCUUAGAAUUAAUAUAUAAAGCUUUAAAAUAGACUACAUAAGAGCUUAGAGUUCACAUGCACUGACAUUGCUAGAUGUUUUCUUAUGGUUGUCCUCUUGCACGGACAGCUCUUUUCACCUUGCUGUGAAAUUUGUAGUGGUUUUACUAGAUAUAUUACACAUUCUACUACUUUUUCAAUCCGUUAAUCCUUAGCAGUGAUUUGAGAGAAGAGAAUAACAGUUAAAAGGCAUAUGAUUUGCUGUUCUUUACUGAUGUCACGCUUUCAAGUGCAUACGCUCCAUAAACUCAAAGCCUGAGAUGACAGAGAAAGUUGUUGAUCAUCAUCAUGGUACCAUCAAAGCAGCACUGGAUUGGAUUGGUUUUGUCAACUCAGAAAUAAUUCUGUUACCCGGAGUUUGUUCAGCCACCAUCAUGGUACAAGCCCCCUGGUGUCCCACACCUUGAGUUUGUGGAGGAUUUGUCUAUAGGUGUGAAAAGUUACUAAUGGCAAGUGUUGUUGUUGUUUUUUUUUUUUAUAUAUAAAAAUCAUAUUUAUGUUACAUGUAUGUAAAUUGUUUUUUUAACUACAUCUGCUGUAAGAUGAUGAUCUGUUUUAGGCUUGGUAUGAAAUUCUUGAAUGUAUACAUAAAUCUGGGAUAUUGGGUAAUCAUUGAAAACAAUGUUAAAAUAAUGUAAAUCGAUGUCUAAUGUAUCUUCCUCGCUGCCUUAGCAGUUUGAAAUUAUAUAAUAAAUGCAUAAUUCAUUCCCCAUUUAAGAUCUUUUUACUUAUGGUUUUUUUACUUAUUUACUUAUUUUACUGCUAUGGUUCAGCAUUAGAGGGUUUGCUGGUCUUAGCUGGUUUAAAAUGGUCUCUUGUCUAACUGAUCUCUGUUGAAGAGCUCAAAACCCUCUCUAUAACAGCCCAAACAGGCUGGGAGACCUGAGAUUUUGUAUCACGUGUUUGUGUUGUCUUUUUAUGUUGUCAGUUUUGUCACAAUAAAUUAUUAAUUCUGUUUCAUGUAUUUUAUUUUGUGCACACGUUUGAAUUAACUUAAUAGUGCAUGCCUGAUAGGCCGAUUCCUUUUAGGAAAUAUAUUUGCACAUUUGCAGACCAUGCAUAGUCUGAGAGCUCUGAUUAAAGGCCCUGUCCCAAAUGAAAGACUUCAUGUGUUCUUGCGGUCUCACGGACUUACGCGUGUCCGUUAAGUCCAUGAGACCGUACAGUAGGGUGUCCCAUUUAUAAUUUUAUCGUUCAGAAGGAUGCUCGCGAGCGCGCCCUUUGUGGACGUUUCUUUCUAAUACUGAAGCCCUCACUGAAGCGAGAUCUGCAGCAAGAGCUACGGGGAGCUAUGAAACCAACCAAGCCAAACACAAAUGUUUCCAGUGCAUACGCUUCCUGUGCAAUCUUGAAACGGAAUAAUGCGUCAUAAAAGACAGCUCUCCAAGUUACUAUUGGUUCACAUAACAACACUCCACCAAUAGCUGAACUUUUCACACGAAAACGUCUUUCCCACUCUAAAUCUCUCAAUGACUUUCGCGGCUGCUUCGCCACAAUCAAACAUCGAGCUCUUAUUUCACGCGCUGUGGUGCAUGGCUGGGACAUUUGAAUCAGCUUCGAUUGUCGCUUAUUUAAAGAUCGUAAGGAAUUACUAAAGUAAAAAACCAGUGACUGACAUGGAAAUCAAUCACGAGGGUUCCAUGUUUGAAUGUCUGUGGAGGCCACUAGUAGGAGUCUGGAGAUGCCUGUGGAGCCUGGUGACUGAUGAUUCUGAAAUAAAACUUUCAGAAGAGGAAACAGAACCAGUGUCUGCCAUCACCAGUGCCCCCUAUAGCUCUGUCCAUCCAUGGUUUGAGAGUCAUGGAGAAGAGGGUGGAGUCUAGUGUGGAAGAGUGAAUACAUGACUAUUGCCUUAUACAUAUUUUAUUAUGGUUCUUUUGUUUGUUGCUCAAGGGCUCUCUGCCGGUGCCUAUUCUGACAAUAGUUGACUGUUACUUUGAGUAUUCAGACUUGAUGAGAAUUGCUUUUUUAUUGUAAAUAAGAAAUAAGAUUUAAAAAAAAAUUCAGUUUGUCACUUUUAUCCAAAUUGUACUGUUAUAGGAAACAAAAACAACAUUGAGCCUCAGCAAUGUGCAUAAAAUCUGGGCAAUGGUUAUGCAUUUUUGUAGCCCACCCCAGAAGUUCAACUCGCCCUGUGUCCCUUUGACAAAAACCCCAUGGGAUUGACUGGAUUAUUGCAGAAAAUAUGUUUUGUGACAAACAAAAGUUUAAGUUUCUUACAUGUUUUGUUCAUCAUGAUAAUCUUCACAAAUUAAGCAUUCUGAAGAGUUUAUUUUAAAGACAUUUUCCCUGAUGAUUUGAGUUUGAAUAGUUUGCAAGUGUGUGAAUAUAAAAACAAUGUGGCUGGUAAAGUGGACUAGUGAGAUGGGUGUACCAGCGGUCUACCAGUUGGGUGACAACCACUGUCUAAUUUAUCCACUUGUUAGCAACCUUUUUUUCAAGACACAUUAACACAUUAAAACACACAAGGAGUAUUACUGAUGUAUUUAUUGUCACAGUAUAAAAUGCAUCAGCUUUAAAAUUGUAACUGGAAGUGCUAAAAUGCAAACUUGUUUCCAGCCUUGGGCCUACAGUAUAACCACAUCUUCUCUGCAGCACUCUAUGCAUGGCAUAGCUUAGCUAUUCUUAUACAUUUAAAACUUAAGUGUAAUACUCCAUUAUGAAAAUGUUAGAAAUCUGCCUAUAAAGAAUGAAUCUUUAUUCAGAUCUUUCUUCUGUUUUAUGCUUAAGGUUAGGGUAAAUUAAGUUUGUACAGCACUUUGGUCAAAACUCUUAUGAAGUUGUAAUAUUUAAGUUUUUUGGAAUACAAAUGCUUUUGCUACUUUUUAUCAACUAUUUUUUUUAUUCAGAUUGUAUUUUGGAUAAUUUUUGCCUUCAUAAAUAGCAGUCGAAACCGUUAAUGUAAUAAAAAUGUAAGUGACAUUUGUGACCAUUAAAUUUACAUUUUUGGGUGUACUAUCCCUUUUAUUGUAUUUAUGAUGUAUGCAUGCAGUUUUGCUGUUGAAUUUUGUAAUGUUGGCAGGACUAAUUUAUUUAUUGUUAGUACUGUUUUUACCAAUUUUCUUGCUGUAAGGUAAUUUUGGGAGUUUAGAAAGGCAGCAUUAAAUAAAAUGAAUAAUUCUAA
Molecule: long non-coding RNA, 4218 nt
Organism: Carassius auratus (goldfish)
Lineage: Eukaryota; Metazoa; Chordata; Actinopteri; Cypriniformes; Cyprinidae
Exons: 6
Source: RefSeq, a predicted model, not a curated record